GUGGGGAAUCUUGCGCAAUGGGCGAAAGCCUGACGCAGCCAUGCCGCGUGAAUGAUGAAGGUCUUAGGAUUGUAAAAUUCUUUCACCGGGGACGAUAAUGACGGUACCCGGAGAAGAAGCCCCGGCUAACUUCGUGCCAGCAGCCGCGGUAAUACGAAGGGGGCUAGCGUUGCUCGGAAUUACUGGGCGUAAAGGGCGCGUAGGCGGACAGUUUAGUCAGUGGUGAAAGCCCAGGGCUCAACCUUAGAAUUGCCUUUGAUACUGGCUGUCUUGAGUACGGGAGAGGUGAGUGGAACUCCGAGUGUAGAGGUGAAAUUCGUAGAUAUUCGGAAGAACACCAGUGGCGAAGGCGACUCACUGGCCCAAUACUGACGCUGAGGCGCGAAAGCGUGGGGAGCAAACAGGAUUAGAUACCCGUGUAGUCC
This 425-nucleotide ribosomal RNA is filed under the name uncultured bacterium. RNAcentral describes it as "partial 16S ribosomal RNA". It matches the Rfam family "Bacterial small subunit ribosomal RNA", at positions 354 to 796 of the family's 1533-position model. The record is from RNAcentral.